UGGGAGGUAAUGGAAUCUAGCAUCUAUUUAGCUAACUGUUAGUGUUGCACUUUAUACAUCUGAAGUGAUGAAGGAAAUUACAUCUGUUGAUCAGAGGACUGGACAUCAAGCCAAAACCGGAUUACGAGAUCCUAAUACUACAUCCUAUUCUGGGUUUGCAGCCAAGCUUGUGUGUGAACAUGAAAACAAGUGUGCGAUGGGGUCAUCGUUCAGUCCUUCUGACAGACUGAAUCCCUGUGAAAACACUGCAGCCGCCUGUACCCAGCUGCUAUAACGGUGCAACGACACCCGCUUCAUUUCCAAGUCGCACGCACGCUGCAUGAGAUAUCAGGCAGUGAUAACAUCCCCGGGCCCCUGUGAGCACGUGGAGCCCAUCAGAUCCUCAAAUCAAGCUGCUCCUGUAAUGAGGAAAACCAUAAUGGCAAAUCUUGCUCUGAGCAUCCUCUGGUUGUGAUGGCUGCACCAGAGGGCAUGUGCACAGAGAGCGGGCUGCUUCAGCUGGCGAGCAGCCUUUCCUCAUUAUCUAGA
This is a long non-coding RNA of Eleginops maclovinus (Patagonian blennie), 528 nucleotides long. RefSeq lists it as uncharacterized. The record is from RefSeq and is a predicted model, not a curated record. The transcript has 3 exons. Lineage: Eukaryota; Metazoa; Chordata; Actinopteri; Perciformes; Eleginopidae.